RNAcentral lists this ribosomal RNA (865 nucleotides) under uncultured bacterium. RNAcentral describes it as "bacterial SSU rRNA". It matches the Rfam family "Bacterial small subunit ribosomal RNA", at positions 42 to 903 of the family's 1533-position model. The record is from RNAcentral.
GCAUGCCUUACACAUGCAAGUCGAACGGCAGCACGGGAGCAAUCCUGGUGGCGAGUGGCGAACGGGUAAGUAAUAUAUCGGAACGUGCCCAGUCGUGGGGGAUAACGCAGCGAAAGCUGUGCUAAUACCGCAUACGAUCCAUGGAUGAAAGCGGGGGAUCGCAAGACCUCGCGCGAUUGGAGCGGCCGAUAUCAGAUUAGCUAGUUGGUGAGGUAAAGGCUCACCAAGGCGACGAUCUGUAGCUGGUCUGAGAGGACGACCAGCCACACUGGAACUGAGACACGGUCCAGACUCCUACGGGAGGCAGCAGUGGGGAAUUUUGGACAAUGGGCGCAAGCCUGAUCCAGCAAUGCCGCGUGCAGGAUGAAGGCCUUCGGGUUGUAAACUGCUUUUGUACGGAGCGAAAAGGCUUCUCCUAAUACGAGGGGCUCAUGACGGUACCGUAAGAAUAAGCACCGGCUAACUACGUGCCAGCAGCCGCGGUAAUACGUAGGGUGCGAGCGUUAAUCGGAAUUACUGGGCGUAAAGCGUGCGCAGGCGGUUUUGUAAGACAGAUGUGAAAUCCCCGGGCUCAACCUGGGACCUGCAUCUGUGACUGCAAGGCUAGAGUACGGUAGAGGGGGAUGGAAUUCCGCGUGUAGCAGUGAAAUGCGUAGAUAUGCGGAGGAACACCGAUGGCGAAGGCAAUCCCCUGGACCUGUACUGACGCUCAUGCACGAAAGCGUGGGGAGCAAACAGGAUUAGAUACCCUGGUAGUCCACGCCCUAAACGAUGUCAACUGGCUGUUGGGUCUCUACUGACUCAGUAACGGAACUAACGCGUGAAGUUGACCGCCUGGGGAGUACGGCCGCAAGGUUGAAACUCA